Molecule: RNA transcript, 6617 nt
Organism: Anolis carolinensis (green anole)
Lineage: Eukaryota; Metazoa; Chordata; Lepidosauria; Squamata; Anolidae
Gene: mpp4
Gene name: MAGUK p55 scaffold protein 4
Exons: 3
Source: RefSeq, a predicted model, not a curated record
AUGGGAGUCCAUCACUUCAGAUGCUUGGGUUCUCCGCAUUGUCCAAGAGGGCUACGCCUUAGAGUUCGCAGAGCUCCCACCUACAGGUCACGUUCUUUCUUCAAUUCCUUCUCCAGAAAUACUGGCCGAAAUCGAUGCCCUCCUGGCCAAAGGCGCCAUCCGUCUCUCUCCUCCCGAACUGGACCCGCAAAGUUUCUUCUCCAGGUACUUCACGGUCCCGAAGAGGGGGGGCAGGCUACGCCCCAUUCUAGACUUAAGGGCCCUCAAUGUCUUCAUUCGUCCUUCCAAAUUCAGAGUGGUCUCUAUUACCUCUAUUCUCCCGAUGCUGCAGCAGGGAGACUACUUUGCCUCCAUAGACUUAUGAGACGCUUACUUCCACGUAGCGAUAAGGGAGGCUCACAGACGUUUCCUCUGUUUCAAAGUCCUCGACCAAACUUAUCAAUUUACCGUUUUGCCCUUCGGCCUAGUCACGGCUCCAAGGGUCUUUACCAAAGUUGUUGCCACCGUAGCGGCCCACCUCAGGCUACAUGGCAUCACGGUCUUUCCUUAUCUGGACGACUGACUUCUGGUCGGGCCCUACCCUGUCCUUCUCGAACGCCACCUCUCCUUCACACUGCGUCUCCUAAACUCUCUCGGCCUCCAACUCAAUGCCGAGAAGUCACAUCUCACCCCGUCGACCAAAAUUCGCUUCAUCGGAGCUCUCUUCGACUCCGUCACACAGACUGUCUCGUUACCGCUCGACAGAUUCCUAGUUCUCCGCCACCAGAUCGCCCUAUGUCGAUCCGCCCGGAGGGUCCGAGCCCGUGCCGUUCAAGUCCUUCUAGGCCACAUGGCCUCCACAGUUCUCAUGACCCCCUUCGCCAGGCUGCGUCUUUGGGUCCUACAAAGGUGGUUUAUAGACACUUUCAAGCCGCUCUACCACCACAACUCGAAGUACCUGUCGAUACCGUCAAACGUUCACCGAUCCCUCUCAUGGUGGACGUCUCACCGAAACGUGUGCAGGGGACUUCCAUUUCAUCCAACCCUACCUUCAAUGACUAUAACCACGGACUCCACCUACGCCUGGGGAGCCCACAUGAACGGCCUGACGGUCCAAGAUCUCUGGUCCCCAUCCGAAAGGACCAACCACAUAAACUUUCUCGAGCUUCUCACCAUCUUCAAAGCCCUGAAAGCUUUCUCCCGCCUCAUCUGCCACAAGUCCAUCCUCAUUCAAUCGGACAAUCUAGUAGCAGUCUUCUACAUCAACAAACAGGGCGGUACGGGUUCGAGAAAGCUGAUGCACAUCUCCUCCCGCCUCUGGUUUUGGUGCAUAGCCCACGACAUCCAAGUCUCCGCGAUUCACCUUCCGGGUGCCCAGAACGACUUGGCAGAUGCCCUCAGCAGGAUGACAUCCUCCUCCCACGAGUGGAAGCUCGAUCCCGAGAUUCUCCACACUCUGUUCCUCGACUGGGGGCGACCUACUCUGGACCUUUUUGCCUCUCCCCAAAACGCUCAACUAUCCCGCUACGGAGCGAGGCUCCCCCCGAACUCCUUUCCAGGCUGCCUGGGAGACGCCUUUCUGCUGGACUGGUCAGCAGAGAUGCUUUACCUCUUUCCCCCUAUUCCCCUCAUACCGAAAGUCCUCGAAAGACUCCUCUCGAUCUCGGUCACAGCGAUCCUCAUAGCUCCGGCUUGGCCUCGCCAGCCGUGGUACCCGGCCCUUCUUCGUCUCUCCAGAGGAACGUUUCACCCUCUGCCUCCCUCGCCACACCUUCUCUCCAGAGAGGACGGUCAGAUUCUUCACCCGGACCUUCCUUCUCUUCAUCUCACUGCUUGGAGGAUUCUUACCUAACCUCCCUUCCACAAAACCUCCAGGAUGUUCUUCGGGCAGCCCAUAAGCCGGCUACAACCAAAGCUUAUACCUACAAGCUUUCUCGCUUUCACGCCUUCCUUCGAUCCCGUGAUAUCGACUCCUUUCCGACUUCGGUACCGGUGGUCCUCGACUUCCUCAUGACUCUCGUCGAGAGAAAACUCUCUCUCGCUUCUAUUAAGGCCUACCUCGCAGCCCUUUCUUGGUCUUUUCAACGCCAUGGUCAGCCGUCUCUCUUCUCUCACCACCUGAUCAAAACCUUUCUCCGAGGCUACAACAACAUCUGCCCACCGUCGCUUCCGCCUACGCCGGGCUGGAACCUUGAACUUGUGCUCUCUCAACUCACAUCUGCUCCCUUCGAACCACUGGCCUCAACCGAUCUCCGCUUGCUUUCGUGGAAACUAGCCUUCCUAGUGGCGAUCACUUCGGCACGACGGCCUUCUGAGCUUGCUGCUCUCAGGGUUGAUGAGCCAUAUCUACGUUUCCACCACGACCGUGCUGUCCUUCGCCCGGACAUUACCUUUCUCCCUAAGGUGGUGUCAGCUUUCCACCUCAAUCAGGACAUUGUCCUACCAGCUUUCUUCUCUAAUCCCUCCUCUCCUCUCGAGCGAAAACUUCACCUUCUCGACGUUCGCAGAGCACUCCUCUUUUACAAGGACCGUACCAGGGGCAUCCGUAAGACUCAGAGACUCUUUGUCGCCUAUGCGCCGGACAAGUUGGGUAAUCCCAUCUCCUCCCAAAGGUUGUCCCAUUGGAUUGCUCAGGCCAUUGAGUUGGCUUACGAACUGGCCAAGCGCCCUCCCCCUCCAUCCAUCCGUCCGAGAUCGACGAGGGGCCUUUCGGCUUCGACCGCCUUCCUCAGGGGUAUCCCGCUCGACUCCAUUUGCAAAGCGGCAAUCUGGUCAAACCCACUUACGUUUGUUUCUCACUACAGGCUAGACAACAAAGCCCUGAAAGACUCGGCCUUCGCAAGAUCGGUACUCUCAUCUUGCUUAUCCUAACUCUCAAACGGCCUUCUUCUCCCUAUACUCACCCGCAGGUGACUCUCUAUACCUCUCCUUCAAGCUAUGGGGCCAGUUUUCUCCCCAUACCUAUACCUCCGGGGACAUGUUUUUCCCUGAUUGUGUUGGAAUGUUGUUCUGUAACACUUUAUUCACCCUGAUGGGUAUGUCAAGUUAUCUGAUGUUUCCCCUCUUCCCCUGGGAGAGUGUUCAUAUACACUGUACUCAACUUUCGUGUUGUAUUACGUUUAUUCAGUAUUUUUCCUGAUAUGUUCCGUCUGUGUGUGCGAAAAAGACCUUGGAGUCCUCGUGGACAACAAGUUAAACAUGAGCCAACAAUGUGAUGCGGCUGCUAAAAAAGCCAAUGGGAUUCUGGCCUGCAUCAAUAGGGGAAUAGCGUCUAGAUCCAGGGAAGUUAUGCUCCCCCUCUAUUCUGCCUUGGUCAGACCACACCUGGAAUACUGUGUCCAAUUUUGGGCACCACAGUUGAAGGGAGAUGUUGACAAGCUGGAAAGCGUCCAGAGGAGGGCGACUAAAAUGAUUAAGGGUCUGGAGAACAAGCCCUAUGAGGAGCGGCUUAAAGAGCUGGGCAUGUUUAGCCUGCAGAAGAGAAGGCUGAGAGGAGACAUGAUAGCCAUGUACAAAUAUGUGAAGGGAAGUCAUAGGGACGAGGGAGCAAGCUUGUUUUCUGCUGCCCUGCAGACUAGGACACGGAACAAUGGCUUCAAACUACAGGAAAGGAGAUUCCACUUGAACAUCAGGAAGAACUUCCUCACUGUGAGAGCUGUUCGACAGUGGAACUCUCUCCCCGGGGCCGUGGUGGAGGCUCCUUCCUUGGAGGCUUUUAAGCAGAGGCUGGAUGGCCAUCUGUCGGGGGUGCUUUGAAUGCGAUUUCCUGCUUCUUAGCAGGGGGUUGGACUAGAUGGCCCAUGUGGUCUCUUCCAACUCUACUAUUCUAUGAUUCUAUGAUUCUAUGAUUCUUAUGUUAUGUUCAUGCUGACAUUGCACUGGUCCUUUCGGACAACUUAUUGCACUGGUCUCUUGGGACUAUUAUCUCAAUGUGUCCUGAUGCACUGGUCUCUUGGGACUGUUAUCUCAAUGUGUCCUAAUAAACUUAUGUUUGGACAUUCACUGGUUGUCGAGUUUGCCUUGUCCCACCAUCCGGGACCUUAGCGUGUCAGUCUCCAUUAGUGUGCAUUCACAGAGUACACGAAGAAAAAGGACAGGUUGCUUACCUGUAACCAUGUUUCUUCGAGUGUACUCUGUGAAUUCACACAAACCCGCCCUUCCUUCCCCUCUGGCAAACCUCUCCCUUUCUCGUUGCCUUGGCGGCGCAGGAACUGGAGAGCGGGCGCCCGGGGCUGCCUUAUAUGCCCCUUGGGAAGGGGGGCGUGGUUACUGCCAAAAUUUGAACUUCAGCUUGGAAGAUUUUCCGUCGGAACCUGCGCAGGCGCAGUUUCUCCAUUAGUGUGAAUUCACAGAGUACACUCGAAGAAACAUGGUUACAGGUAAGCAACCUGUCCUUUUCCAGAGUCAUAACAAAGACCUUUAUCACCUCUGUGCAUUGUUUAGUUGCCAUGAAGCUGUCUUGUCAUGCUAGGUGCUCAGUGUAGAUUGCACUGCAUUUGGAAUUUAGAAAGCAAUUGUUACUCUAAAAAAGAUGGUCAGAAUUGUGGCAGAAUGAAAAUCACACGUAGUUCACGUUUGACCAGUCCACAUACUGACUUGCCAGAGAAAAGAUAUGCCAUGCAGAUGAUCAGUAAAGAACAGGAAGUUUACUCUUCAAAAUGCAGAGCAACAUAUAUACAGUCAUUUCAACAGUUGCACUGACUCACGCAAUGUCCUUUGAGAGAGAUUCAAAUGGUCCUUAGAUGUCCAUUUAAAAUGUCUUCCUUUCAGCGGCCCAGGAGCAAACUUCUCUUUGCUAAGCUCCUGCACAGAAAACCAUCUGUAACUGUUGCCAAAACUCCAAGGCUCAGUUAGUUCCCUGGGUGUGGCCAAACCAAUCAGCUUCAUGCUUUGGUUUUUACAUGCCCCAAUAAAAAUGACCCUUGCCUGACUUAUGGGAGUAUUGAAUGGUUUAGUUAUUUUCUGCAGUAUUCCAUAUGAUCGUCAUCUUAUGUGUUAGUCUCAUUCUCAUCUCCCCACCCAAACUUUAAACAAAUUAUACUGCAAUUAUGGUAGUGCAGUUUGUUCUACCAGACCAGUUUCUGGAUUUGCUGGGGUGAGUGAAAUGGCAAAUAGGCUGAAAUUGUAGUACAGUGUUCCCUCGCUACUUCGCAGUUCACUUUUCGUUCCCUUUCUGUUUCAUGGGUUUUCAAUUAAUAUUACUGUACACAUUUAUUGCGGUAUUUUGGCUGUUUUGCAGGUUUUUGCUGUGUGCAAAGGGUUUUGGAAGGGGGGAAGGGAGAAAUAAAGGGAGAAGGGGAAGGGUAGGGAAGGGUUGGAAAUAAAAAAAGGGUUAUUUAGCUUCCAUUCUUCUUCUCUGCCAGUGUAGUGUAUGUUGUAACUGCUAAAAUAAAGUACAGACUGCAUUGUAGUAAGUGGUCUGUGGUUUGCUCUCCUCCACACAUAGAAUAAAUAUAGUGUCCCUACUUCGCGGAUUUUCACUUAUUGUGGGUGGUCCUGGAACGUAACCCCUGCGAUAAGUGAGGAAACACUGUACAUGCUGAGAAGCUUAGGAAAGCAUAGGACUAGUUAUUUCUAGAGCUUGGAAAUGACCUGUAUACCUUACUUCUUAGGCUGCUAUUGUUAGAAUCUCUAGCUAAUGUGGCUGCUGUUGGGGGAUUCUUAAAGUUAUUGUCCAAACAACAACCUUUUCAAUUUCUGGUUAUUUCUAGGUUCAGCUGCAGAAAAGGUCUCCAGAAAUUUGGAUGGGUGGCAAAUUUUGUUUGUUGCUGUCUGACCCAAAUAAAUUAAGGAAUGCGUCAGCGACUAAUGCCUGCUGUCAUACAACAUGAUAUAUUAAAGAACUGGAUUUUAAUAGAUUUUUUUUGUAAUGCUCCCCAACGAGGGAUAGCUUGCAUGGAAAUCAUGCAACAUGCUUGCCGUCUAGAUAUUGAAAUUCAUCAUUGAAAAACUCAUGGAAUCAGUUUUAUCUGGCACCUCAACAAUCUUGUCCCAUCUAUCAAUUCAUAGCAUUUGAGAAUUACCAAGUUCCUCUCCCUCUUCUUCCUUGCCCACAUUUGUUUUCCCUUCCUGCCUUAGGCAGGUAUUUAUAUUGGCAAACCACUCCCCUUCUCCUCCUUUUUUCUGUCACAUGCCCACUUUGUUUCUUAUCUCUUAUCUGCAGUGAUUUGCCAUGUUACAGAAUUAACUUUUCAGACAUUGGAUGCAUUCCAGAGUGCCGUUUUUCAUGUGCCCUAAUUACACACUGGUUGAAUUCCUUUUCUCUUUUCUUCUCUUUCAUUACCGCAUCCAGUUCAGUGUUUAGGAAGGAAGCAAGUUCUAAAUAUAGGUCUUAAGGAGGGCAGUAAAAAGUGACAGUAAUUCCUUCGUCUCUGGUAAGAAGAUUGAGGUAAUAUAUCUCCUGCCGUACUCCUGCAAAUUUCUACCCAGCGAUCCAGGAAAAAUGGCUGCUGUCUUGGUUUGGUCCAUUUGAAAACUACAUUUUUCAACACAUUUUAUUCCAGAUGAUUCACUCAGAGAAACGAGGGGAAUCUCCAAGGAUGAAGGAGAAGAUGGAGAAGGCUGCACUCCUGCGCAGCCACGAUAAUGGUUUAUCUCAUUUACUGUCUCUGGUCCUGCAAGAGCUGAGCCUGUUCUAU